Molecule: ribosomal RNA, 467 nt
Filed under: uncultured bacterium
Lineage: Bacteria
Description: partial 16S ribosomal RNA
Rfam family: Bacterial small subunit ribosomal RNA
Source: RNAcentral
GACGAACGCUGGCGGCGUGCUUAACACAUGCAAGUCGAACGGAAAGGCCUCUUUCGGGGGGUACUCGAGUGGCGAACGGGUGAGUAACAUGUGAGUAACCUGCCCUUGACUUUGGGAUAACUUCAGGAAACUGGGGCUAAUACCGGAUAGGAGCUCCUGCUGCAUGGUGGGGGUUGGAAAGUUUCGGCGGUUGGGGAUGGACUCGCGGCUUAUCAGCUUGUUGGUGGGGUAGUGGCUUACCAAGGCUUUGACGGGUAGCCGGCCUGAGAGGGUGACCGGCCACAUUGGGACUGAGACACGGCCCAGACUCCUACGGGAGGCAGCAGUGGGGAAUAUUGCACAAUGGGUGGAAGCCUGAUGCAGCAACGCCGUGUGCGGGAUGACGGCCUUCGGGUUGUAAACCGCUUUCGCUCAUGACGAAGCUUUGUGUGACGGUAGUGGGUAAAGAAGCACCGGCUAACUACGUG